AGAAAAGUGGCCGAUCUUUAAGCGUUAGACUGUAAAUUUAUUGAUGAAUAAAAUUCCUUUUCUA
RNAcentral lists this transfer RNA (64 nucleotides) under Sminthurinus signatus. Its description in RNAcentral is "tRNA-Tyr". It matches the Rfam family "tRNA". From Rfam's summary of the family: Transfer RNA (tRNA) molecules are approximately 80 nucleotides in length. The record is from RNAcentral. Lineage: Eukaryota; Metazoa; Arthropoda; Collembola; Symphypleona; Katiannidae.